Molecule: ribosomal RNA, 497 nt
Filed under: uncultured bacterium
Lineage: Bacteria
Description: partial 16S ribosomal RNA
Rfam family: Bacterial small subunit ribosomal RNA
Source: RNAcentral
GAUGAACGCUGGCGGCGUGCCUAAUACAUGCAAGUCGAGCGAACAGACGAGGAGCUUGCUCCUCUGACGUUAGCGGCGGACGGGUGAGUAACACGUGGAUAACCUACCUAUAAGACUGGGAUAACUUCGGGAAACCGGAGCUAAUACCGGAUAAUAUAUUGAACCGCAUGGUUCAAUAGUGAAAGACGGUUUUGCUGUCACUUAUAGAUGGAUCCGCGCCGCAUUAGCUAGUUGGUAAGGUAACAGCUUACCAAGGCAACGAUGCGUAGCCGACCUGAGAGGGUGAUAGGCCACACUGGAACUGAGACAAGGUCCAGACUCCUACGGGAGGCAGCAGUAGGGAAUCUUCCGCAAUGGGCGAAAGCCUGACGGAGCAACGCCGCGUGAGUGAUGAAGGUCUUCGGAUCGUAAAACUCUGUUAUUAGGGAAGAACAAAUGUGUAAGUAACUAUGCACGUCUUGACGGUACCUAAUCAGAAAGCCACGGCUAACUACGUG